Oribacterium sp. oral taxon 078 is the source of this 72-nucleotide non-coding RNA. Lineage: Bacteria; Bacillati; Bacillota; Clostridia; Lachnospirales; Lachnospiraceae. The record is from Rfam.
GCCCCCGUAGCUUAAUGGAUAGAGCGCUGGCCUCCGACGCCAGUAGUGGCGGUUCGAGUCCGUUCGGGAGCA